RNAcentral lists this transfer RNA (71 nucleotides) under Strigamia maritima. It matches the Rfam family "tRNA". Rfam says of the family: Transfer RNA (tRNA) molecules are approximately 80 nucleotides in length. Their secondary structure includes four short double-helical elements and three loops (D, anti-codon, and T loops). Further hydrogen bonds mediate the characteristic L-shaped molecular structure. tRNAs have two regions of fundamental functional importance: the anti-codon, which is responsible for specific mRNA codon recognition, and the 3' end, to which the tRNAs corresponding amino acid is attached (by aminoacyl-tRNA synthetases). tRNAs cope with the degeneracy of the genetic code in two manners: having more than one tRNA (with a specific anti-codon) for a particular amino acid; and 'wobble' base-pairing, i.e. permitting non-standard base-pairing at the 3rd anti-codon position. Lineage: Eukaryota; Metazoa; Arthropoda; Chilopoda; Geophilomorpha; Linotaeniidae. The record is from Rfam by way of RNAcentral.
UCCCAGGUAGCUUAAUGGUAAAGCACCCAACCGGCAAUUGGGGGAUCUGGGUUCAAUUCCCGGUCUAGGCU